GACGUAGGGCGCGAGCGUUGUCCGGAUUUAUUGGGCGUAAAGAGCUCGUAGGCGGCUUGUCGCGUCGACUGUGAAAACCCGCGGCUCAACCUCGGGCCUGCAGUGGAUACGGGCAGACUAGAGUGCGGUAGGGGAGAUUGGAAUUCCUGGUGUAGCGGUGGAAUGCGCAGAUAUCAGGAGGAACGCCGAUGGCGAAGGCAGAUCUCUGGGCCGUAACUGACGCUGAGGAGCGAAAGCGUGGGGAGCGAACAGG
RNAcentral lists this ribosomal RNA (253 nucleotides) under uncultured bacterium. Its description in RNAcentral is "partial 16S ribosomal RNA". It matches the Rfam family "Bacterial small subunit ribosomal RNA", at positions 524 to 776 of the family's 1533-position model. The record is from RNAcentral.